GCUUACGGCCAUACCGACUUAGGCAUGCCCGAUCUCGUCUGAUCUCGGAAGCUAAGCAGGGUCGGGCCUGGUUAGUACUCGGAUGGCUGACUGCCUGGGAAUACCAGGUGCUGUAAGCA
RNAcentral lists this ribosomal RNA (119 nucleotides) under Gadus morhua (Atlantic cod). Lineage: Eukaryota; Metazoa; Chordata; Actinopteri; Gadiformes; Gadidae. The record is from RNAcentral.